UACGUAGGUGGCAAGCGUUGUCCGGAUUUAUUGGGUUUAAAGGGUGCGUAGGCGGUCUUAUAAGUCAGUGCUGAAAUAUCCCGGCUUAACCGGGAGGGUGGCAUUGAUACUGUAGGACUUGAGUAGAGUUGAGGUUGGCGGAAUUGACGGUGUAGCGGUGAAAUGCUUAGACAUCGUCAAGAACACCGAUAGUGAAGACAGCUAACUAAGCUCAAACUGACGCUGAGGCACGAAAGUGUGGGGAUCAAACAGG
RNAcentral lists this ribosomal RNA (253 nucleotides) under uncultured bacterium. Its description in RNAcentral is "partial 16S ribosomal RNA". It matches the Rfam family "Bacterial small subunit ribosomal RNA", at positions 524 to 776 of the family's 1533-position model. The record is from RNAcentral.